This 469-nucleotide ribosomal RNA is filed under the name uncultured bacterium. RNAcentral's name for it is "bacterial SSU rRNA". It matches the Rfam family "Bacterial small subunit ribosomal RNA", at positions 34 to 498 of the family's 1533-position model. The record is from RNAcentral.
CGCUGGCGGCAUGCUUUACACAUGCAAGUCGAACGGCAGCGCGGACUUCGGUCUGGCGGCGAGUGGCGAACGGGUGAGUAAUAUAUCGGAACGUACCCAAGAGAGGGGGAUAACGUAGCGAAAGUUACGCUAAUACCGCAUACGAUCUAUGGAUGAAAGUGGGGGAUCGCAAGACCUCAUGCUCCUGGAGCGGCCGAUAUCUGAUUAGCUAGUUGGUGAGGUAAAGGCUCACCAAGGCGACGAUCAGUAGCUGGUCUGAGAGGACGACCAGCCACACUGGAACUGAGACACGGUCCAGACUCCUACGGGAGGCAGCAGUGGGGAAUUUUGGACAAUGGGCGCAAGCCUGAUCCAGCAAUGCCGCGUGAGUGAAGAAGGCCUUCGGGUUGUAAAGCUCUUUUGUCAGGGAAGAAACGGUAGGAGCUAAUAUCUCUUGCUAAUGACGGUACCUGAAGAAUAAGCACCGGCU